RNAcentral lists this ribosomal RNA (454 nucleotides) under uncultured Porphyromonadaceae bacterium. RNAcentral describes it as "bacterial SSU rRNA". It matches the Rfam family "Bacterial small subunit ribosomal RNA", at positions 341 to 792 of the family's 1533-position model. The record is from RNAcentral. Lineage: Bacteria; Pseudomonadati; Bacteroidota; Bacteroidia; Bacteroidales; Porphyromonadaceae.
ACGGGAGGCAGCAGUGAGGAAUAUUGGUCAAUGGACGGAAGUCUGAACCAGCCAAGUCGCGUGCGGGAUGAAGGCCCUACGGGUCGUAAACCGCUUUUGUACGGGGAUAAAGUCACCCACGUGUGGGUGUUUGUAGGUACCGUAAGAAUAAGGAUCGGCUAACUCCGUGCCAGCAGCCGCGGUAAUACGGAGGAUCCGAGCGUUAUCCGGAUUUAUUGGGUUUAAAGGGUGCGCAGGCGGGCUGCUAAGUCUCCGGUGAAAUGUCAGGGCUCAACCUUGGCACUGCCGGAGAUACUGGCGGCCUUGAGAGUGGCGGAGGUAUCCGGAAUGUGUGGUGUAGCGGUGAAAUGCAUAGAUAUCACGCAGAACGCCGAUUGCGAAGGCAGCCCUCCAGCACUGGACUGACGCUGAGGCACGAAAGCGUGGGUAUCGAACAGGAUUAGAUACCCUGGUA